Molecule: long non-coding RNA, 1261 nt
Filed under: Capra hircus (goat)
Lineage: Eukaryota; Metazoa; Chordata; Mammalia; Artiodactyla; Bovidae
Description: lncRNA (ENSCHIG00000007007.1)
Source: RNAcentral
CUGGUAACACCCAUCCCUCUCCACAAACAUAGCUGUUUGUGUAGUGGACUCGUGGCUGUCCCUCCCAGACUGUGACCUCUGGAGAGCAGAGCCUGGAGUCCCGUGGCACUGUCCCUGGCUGCACGCUCCUCGUGGCUGGACUAGCGGCUCAGGAAGGACUCAGGGAGGGUUUUACCAAUACAGGAGCCUUAGGUGACUUUCCUGAGUCCACCCCGUGAGACUAUGACGUGGGACCAGCACGGUGGUCCCCCAGCACUCAGAGCUAGGAUACGAAAAUGUCCGUUAAGUGAAUGAAUGCGUGAACACAGGGUUGCAUGAGUAUCAUCCGCAGAACCAAGAGAUGAUAAGUGCUCCUUCCUGGGCUUCCCUGUGGCUCAGCAGUAAAAAAUCCUCCUGCCAACACAGGAGACACGGGUUCGAUCCCUGGUCCGGGAAGAUUCCACACGCCGUGGAGCAACGUGCAGAGCCUGUGUGCCACCACUACUGAGCCUGCGCUCCAGAGCCCUGCAACAGGGGAGCCACCACAAUGAGAAACUCCCGCUCCGCAAGGAAGAGUAGCCUCCACUCGCUGCAACCAGAGAAAAGCCUGCGUCGCCGUGAAGACCCAGCACAACCAAAAAGAAAUAAACACCUUAAACGUCCAUACAGCCACAGGCUCACACCGACUUCAAGAUCAUUCCGAAAAUGCAGUUUCUGUGUACGAGAUGGGGCUCUGUGGUCCGGAGCCACAACCACGUGCCUCAGCCAUCUGACAGCGUUGGCUUCCGUGCCAGGUUCCAGACCCUGGAGAAAAGGGCUCAGAAAUGCCCGACAAAGCCCUCCCACCAGGCUCCAGGCCCCGCCUCCAACAGGACUUCUUCCCGGGGAAUCGCAUCUCUGUUAGGAUGCAGCACCUGAGGUCCGGCGGUGGGGAGAGGGUGGGCCUGCGGACCUACUGCUCCUUGCAGUGUUGAGAGGUCUCUGCCCAUCUCUGUGUCCAUCAUUAGAAAGUGAAAGUGAAAGCCGCUCAGUCGUGUCCGACUCUUUGCGACCCCACUGACUGUAGAGUCUGUGGAAUCCUCCAGGCCAGAAUACAGGAUUGGGUAGCUGUUCCCUUCUCCAGGGGAUCUUCCCAACCCAGGGAUCGAACCCGCCGUGUUGCAGGCGGAUUCUUUACCAGCUGAGCCACGAGGGAAGCACCCAUCAUGAGGCAACUCCUAUUCAUCCAUAGUGUGCUAGGCCGAGCACCCCAUCGUCAGGGAAGCUUUCUCGGAAUGCCCUG